UUUUGAUUUUGAAGGGUACCCACGAUUCUUCUUCCUCGUUUGAGUCGAUUAAUGGAAGCAAUUUUGGAUUUUGGCAAUGGUUCUUGAGUUACCCCUGAUUUGGAUAAAUGGUGUGUUGUGCUGUUAUAAGGUGAUGGAAAUGGAUGAAGGAGAAGGAACAAAAUAAAAAAAAAAAUAUUGGGUUUUUAUUUAUUUAUUUAUUUGAGUGAGUUGGUUUUGGCUUUUCUUUUCUUUAGAAAAAAUCACUUUUUUUUUCUCUCUCUUUUGUGCUGUGUUUUGGAAUCUUGUUUUUUUCUUGGAGGAAUGGGUUGAAGAUGGUGACAACUCUUUUGGGUUUUAUUCCUUAGAGACACAAGAAAAAAAUUUCAAGAAUUGAUUUGAAUUUUUAAAAAAAAUGGUUGAAAGAUAUAUAUGGAGAGAGAAAGGAUGAAACUUUAUAAGCAAUGUGAAUGAAGGAGAGUAUAGGAAUUGAAGGGUUAAUUUUUAAUGUUCUAGGACUUAGAUUUUGUCUCUUUAUUCUUAUGUUCCUCCUCCUUUUGCAAUGCUUAUU
Lupinus albus (white lupine) is the source of this 550-nucleotide non-coding RNA. Lineage: Eukaryota; Viridiplantae; Streptophyta; Magnoliopsida; Fabales; Fabaceae. The record is from the annotation of a GenBank genome assembly.